CAGCAGCCGCGGUAAUACGAAGGGUGCAAGCGUUACUCGGAAUUACUGGGCGUAAAGCGUGCGUAGGUGGUGGUUUAAGUCCGUCGUGAAAGCCCUGGGCUCAACCUGGGAAUUGCAGUGGAUACUGGGUCACUAGAGUGUGGUAGAGGAUAGUGGAAUUUCCGGUGUAGCAGUGAAAUGCGUAGAGAUCGGAAGGAACAUCUGUGGCGAAGGCGACUAUCUGGGCCAACACUGACACUGAGGCACGAAAGCGUGGGGAGCAAACAGGAUUAGAUACCCCUGUAGUCCCUGUCUCUUAUAA
This 301-nucleotide ribosomal RNA is filed under the name uncultured bacterium. Its description in RNAcentral is "partial 16S ribosomal RNA". It matches the Rfam family "Bacterial small subunit ribosomal RNA", at positions 509 to 809 of the family's 1533-position model. The record is from RNAcentral.